AAAGAAAAUAACGUUUAUCAAUAAAUCUGCAUGAAAAAAAGAGAUCACAAAAUAAACUGCCUACUUUUAUUUCUUUUGUGAAAUGGAGACCACUUACUACGGUUUUUUGAUGACUUCUCCACUAACUAGAAUGUUUUGUUUCGCAGCCUUGCCGCCCUAUUCUGUUGCUGAUUUCUUGUUGAUGAGUGCAGCUUGGAUCCAGCCAUCCUAUUUCUCUGCUGAUAUCACUCUGCUCCAUCUUAAAGUAUUUGCUGUCUUUAAACACACUUGAAGUAUCUGCUGUGAAGCUGUAAUCAAAAUUUCAAGUUUGAAAGUGUUUCAGAAUCUUUAUUUAGAGAAACUUCCAUAAAAUUAUAUUUCAUUGUGGUUAGAGGUGAUAGUCAAAAGAACAUAAAUAAGAAGUUUCAUGGAUGUCAAAUUAACGUUUCUCAGAGAUCAUUCUGCAUCAAUCCAGUCUGCUGCAUGGAAGAAUCUGAUUACUUUAAUCAACACUUAUGCUACUCAUAUCUUAUCUUUUAGAACCAUUAGGGUCUUCAAAACAGAAAUUAACAUUUUUUAGAUAAUUUUUUAGUGCCAUUUAUCAUGACUAACUCAAUGGGCUAAUUGUCUUAUUAACUUGAUGGAUCCACUGUAGUAAAAUCAUCUGAAUCCUUAUAAACCAACGUUGAUACUUAAACUCAAGUUAUUUAUAGUAGACUCUGAUGUUUAUAAUCCUUAUAAACCGAUACAAGGCAUUUCAAACAUCUGAUGUGUUUGAAAAUGUGACAUUACAAGUGAUAAGAUGUGGGGUUAAUUCUUUGGUGAGGUCUUCCCAAAGUCAUAAAUCUUGAAAUAUAUCAAAUGUAUACCAAGGUUUGACUUACUAGUCCGAGCCGGUUUGUCGACCGAUCGGUGGCACAGCACAUGCUGCCCUGUAGUGGUGCACCAACACAUGAUAUGUAGCGUGAAGGGAAGCAGCAGCACGAUGGCGGUGAAGCGGUGAAGAGGCAGUAUUGCAACGGCGAAGAGGCAACAUCAAGUAAAGCUCCAAAUCAGCCGUAAAAUUCAUGCAUUUCGCUGACACAAGAGGCCGAACCAAAAAUGCUCAC
This 1088-nucleotide long non-coding RNA is filed under the name Musa acuminata (dwarf banana). RNAcentral's name for it is "long non-coding RNA (MACU_LNC000131)". Lineage: Eukaryota; Viridiplantae; Streptophyta; Magnoliopsida; Zingiberales; Musaceae. The record is from RNAcentral.